UCGACGUCGCCCGAUGAGGAGGAGGAGGAGAACUCGCCGAUCGAGCAGGUGGCGCUGACGGUGCCCGUGGGCGACGACCCGGACACGCCCGUGCUCACCUUCAGGAUGUGGGUCCUCGGCAUGGCGUCCUGCGCCGUGCUCUCCUUCCUCAACCAGUUCUUCUGGUACCGCAAGGAGCCGCUCACCAUCACCGCCAUCUCGACCCAGAUCGCCGUGGUGCCGCUCGGCCGCCUCAUGGCCGCGGCGCUCCCCGAGCGCGCCUUCUUCCGCGGCAGGCCGUACGAGUUCACCCUCAACCCGGGGCCGUUCAACGUGAAGGAGCACGUGCUCAUCACCAUCUUCGCCAACGCCGGCGCCGGCACCGUCUACGCCAUCUACGUCGUCACCGCCGUCCGCGUCUUCUACGGCAAGAACCUCACCUUCUUUGUCUCGCUCCUCGUGGUGCUCACCACCCAGGUGCUCGGGUUCGGGUGGGCGGGGAUGUUCCGGCGGUACCUGGUGGAGCCGGCGGCCAUGUGGUGGCCGUCCAACCUCGUGCAGGUCUCACUCUUCAGGGCGCUCCACGAGAAGGAGGUGCGGAGCAAAGGCGGCUUCACGCGCAGCCAGUUCUUCCUGGUGGCCUUUGUCUGCAGCUUCGUCUACUACAUCUUCCCCGGCUACCUGUUCCAGAUGCUCACCUCCCUCUCCUGGAUCUGCUGGGUCUUCCCCAACUCCGUGUUGGCCCAGCAGCUCGGCUCGGGCCUCCACGGCCUCGGCAUCGGCUCCAUCGGCCUCGACUGGGCCUCUGUCUCCUCUUACCUCGGGAGCCCCCUCGCCAGCCCCUGGUUCGCCACCGCCAACGUCGCCGCAGGAUUCUUCAUCAUCAUGUACGUGAUCAUGCCCAUCGCGUACUGGUUCAACUUGUACAAGGCUCGGAACUUUCCCAUCUUCUCUCAUGGGCUCUUCACUGAGUCCGGGCACAAGUACAACAUCAGGAGCAUCGUGGACUCCCAGUUCCAUUUUGACACCAAGGCCUACGAGAAGAAUGGUCCUCUGUACCUCAGCACUUUCUUUGCUGUCACGUAUGGUGUCCGUUUUGCAUCCCUUACCGCAACGAUCGUCCAUGUCCUCCUCUUCCAUGGAAGUGAAAUUUGGCAGUUAAGUAAAUCGGCUUUCCAAGAGAAGAGGGUGGAUGUACACACAAAGCUUAUGAGGAGAUAUAAGCAGGUCCCUGAGUGGUGGUUCAUGUGCAUGCUUAUUGUUAACAUUGCCGUCACCGUAUUUGCUUGUGAAUACCACAUCGAGCAACUCCAGCUGCCCUGGUGGGGUGUGCCACUUGCAUGUGCCAUAGCCUUUUUCUUUACCCUCCCAGCUGGAAUUAUCACAGCAACUACGAACCAGACUCCAGGAUUGAACAUCAUCACAGAGUACAUCAUGGGGUACUUGUACCCUGGACGACCGGUGGCAAAUAUGUGCUUCAAGGUAUAUGGCUACAUCAGCAUGAGCCAAGCUCUGACGUUUCUGCAAGAUUUUAAGUUGGGCCACUACAUGAAGAUUCCCCCAAGGACCAUGUUCAUGGCUCAGGUGGUGGGAACUCUGAUUGCGGCAUUUGUGUACCUUGGAACAGCAUGGUGGCUCCUGGACUCAAUCCCCAACAUCUGCGACACCGAGCUCCUCCCAGCAGGCAGCCCUUGGACCUGCCCUGCCGAUCAUGUGUUCUACGACGCAUCAGUCAUAUGGGGUCUUAUUAGCCCACGCAGAAUAUUCGGGGACUUAGGAACUUACUCGGCGGUGAACUGGUUCUUCUUGGGGGGAGCCAUUGCCCCACUCCUCGUCUGGUUUGCACACAAGGCAUUCCCAGGCCAGAACUGGAUCUUGCUCAUCAACAUGCCCGUGUUGAUUGGUUCCACCGGCCAGAUGCCACCCGCCACUGCAGUCAACUACAUCACAUGGAUAUUUGUUGGGUUUUUGUCAGGCUAUGUGGUCUAUAGAUACCGACGUGACUGGUGGGAGCGACACAAUUAUCUGCUUUCAGGUGCACUAGAUGCUGGUUUGGCAUUCAUGGCCGUGUUAAUUUACCUGUGCCUAGGCUUGGAGAACGUCAGUUUGAACUGGUGGGGCAAUGACUUGGAUGGAUGUCCCCUGGCUUCUUGCCCCACUGCUAAAGGUAUAUUUGUUGAGGGGUGCCCAGCAGUGUAUACGUGA
This 2184-nucleotide ribosomal RNA is filed under the name Triticum aestivum (bread wheat). RNAcentral describes it as "partial small subunit ribosomal RNA". The record is from RNAcentral. Lineage: Eukaryota; Viridiplantae; Streptophyta; Magnoliopsida; Poales; Poaceae.